UUGCAUAUUUGUGAGUAAAAC
Molecule: unclassified non-coding RNA, 21 nt
Filed under: synthetic construct
Source: RNAcentral